This is a ribosomal RNA of Pundamilia nyererei, 117 nucleotides long. The record is from Ensembl. NCBI's taxonomy places the organism in Eukaryota, Metazoa, Chordata, Actinopteri, Cichliformes, Cichlidae.
AAGAAAUGCCAUACCACUCUGAACACAUCUUGUCUUGUUAGAUCUCUGAAGCUAAGCACGGUUGGGCCUGGUUAGUACUUUGAUGGGAAACCACCUGGGAAUAUGUUACGUCCCUCU